CGCAAGAGAACACUGCAAAGGCUGCAAAAGCAAGGAGAGAGGGCUGGCAGAAAGUUGCUGACAAAUCAAACUCAGCCACAACAGGACCCACAAGAACAUGGGAACAAGUAAAAGUGGAAUACAGGAGUAUUCUACAGAAUGGUAAUAUUUAUCUCUUAGAUUGCUUUUCGUCUCUUGGCAAGGUAAUACUGGCCUGUAAUACUCUGUUAGUUUGUUCAUAACAGCAACCAAGAAAAGGGCAGAGGAAAAAAAGACAGGUGGUGGUCCUGCACCCCCUCGUCAACAAGUUGGUUAAGUAAAUAAUACCCUCACGGGAAAAUCGAUAUCUCUCAAUGAGCACACUGUCGCGCUGAGCUAAAGGAUCCUGUCUAUCCCGCAAUAUACGCUGGAUUCUGAGGACUCUCCUUAUCAAUCUUGCACCUUCCGCAAUGGGUUGGUCGCGUAUACGGACAGGACAUGGCUGCGACAGACUUCCCAAAUCCACCUUCGCUUUUAUAGCCGUGGUCUCUCAUCUUGAUUACACGAAGUAAUUUACAAUUACUACUCUGAAAUAUGAAUUACAUCUGUAAUAAUCACAUACAUGUAAUAGAAUGUUAAUAGUUCAUUUCCCUUUUUUAGGAAAUGACCUGUAUGUAUCUGUGUGACAUCAAUAAAUGGAUCAGGUGCUGCAUUA
Molecule: long non-coding RNA, 673 nt
Organism: Pundamilia nyererei
Lineage: Eukaryota; Metazoa; Chordata; Actinopteri; Cichliformes; Cichlidae
Exons: 2
Source: RefSeq, a predicted model, not a curated record